This is a small RNA of 312 nucleotides. It matches the Rfam family "MicL sRNA". From Rfam's summary of the family: mRNA-interfering complementary RNA regulator of Lpp. Transcription factor sigma E dependant sRNA. The record is from Rfam.
UAUGGCUGGUGCUGGCGUUCGAGUCAGCAACCUGCAUAUGUUUUUGGACGCAGGGGUGGAGGAGGUACACAGCUCCGCAGGAAUGUGGACGCCGUCGCCCAUGCGUUACCGUCAACAGGGAUUGUCGAUGUCAUCUGAUGCGCAGUCGGAUGAGUAUCUGCGCUAUUGCGUGGACGGUGAAAUUGUAGCGGAAAUGAAAGCGAUGAUUGCCCGUCAUCGUGCGUUCUGACCCUUUUUUACCGCACAUCAUGUCGCCCAAUAUGAUGCUUGCUUUGUACCAGGCCCCUGCCAUUUCAACAGGGGCCAUUUUUU